AGAAUCAACGCUGGCGGCGUGCCUAACACAUGCAAGUCGCACGAGAAAGGGGAGCAAUCCCUGAGUACAGUGGCGCACGGGUGAGUAACACGUGAAUAAUCUACCUCCGAGUGGGGAAUAACUGAGAGAAAUCUUAGCUAAUACCGCAUAAUACCCACGGGUCAAAGCAGCAAUGCGCUUGGAGAGGAGUUCGCGGCAGAUUAGUUAGUUGGCGGGGUAAUGGCCCACCAAGACGAUGAUCUGUAUCCGGCCUGAGAGGGCGCACGGACACACUGGAACUGAAACACGGUCCAGACUCCUACGGGAGGCAGCAGUGGGGAAUUUUUGCGCAAUGGGGGAAACCCUGACGCAGCAACGCCGCGUGGAGGAUGAAGCCCCUUGGGGUGUAAACUCCUUUCGAUCGGGAAGAUAAUGACGGUACCGAUAUAAGAAGCCCCGGCUAACUUCGUGCCAGCAGCCGC
RNAcentral lists this ribosomal RNA (461 nucleotides) under uncultured bacterium. RNAcentral's name for it is "SSU rRNA". It matches the Rfam family "Bacterial small subunit ribosomal RNA", at positions 26 to 518 of the family's 1533-position model. The record is from RNAcentral.